Molecule: long non-coding RNA, 1765 nt
Organism: Callithrix jacchus (white-tufted-ear marmoset)
Lineage: Eukaryota; Metazoa; Chordata; Mammalia; Primates; Cebidae
Source: RefSeq, a predicted model, not a curated record
UAUUACAUAGAAAUGUGCCUAAUACUUAGUAUCUCAUGGCUCACAUAAGAUGAUGUCCUAGCUUAAUAUUUAAUAAGAAUAUCUCUGUCGCUAUCUCUUUAUUUUCUUUGAUUUUCUGUUAAUUAUCCCAUGACUUAAUGCUCUACAAUUUGUCCUUUUCUUUCGACUGUUAAAGGUAAUCAUGACAAAACCUGCUAUCAUUUACUUAAAAUUUCACUAGGUUAGACAGCCACUGUUGGCAACUGUAGGGUUAAAUUUUAAUUCAAUUUUACAGAUGAGAGAACUAAAACUUAGGAAGCUGAAGAGAUGAGCCAAAACUUACAGGCUACUAACUGACCAAGCCGGGGUUUAAACCAACAUCAAUCUGAUUCCAGACCAACGUUGUUUCCAGUAAUCGAAUCAGUGACUUAAAGCAAACUGAACUUGCAGACAACCUAUUAUGGGACCUUGCGAUCAGAAUUUUGGUGUUCAUAAAUUAAAAGAAAACAAACAAACACAGAGCUGUGGGAUGAUUCCAGAGAAAGUUUCCAAAAUUUUCUUCUAGUUCUCAAAGAGAUAUUAGAACAAUAAUCCCAAUAUCUAAAUUCACCUGUGAAGAAAAUGAGACCUGGAUCUGUUGCUAGAUCUAUGAAUGGACCAACCAUGAGACCUUGGCCAGCACUCAACAUUCUGCUGGGAGGAAGGGUCAGAGCUGCCUAGAGAAAAGAGCACCAGACUCAGAGAAAGCAAGGACAAAGCACAGAGCUUAUGGGAGAACCCAUCACGGAUUCAGGCUUCCCCUGGCAUCCAGUUGUCUGCUUUGCUUUCUCUUCAUUCUUCUUUAUUGUAUUACCCCAACUCUCACUGCAGAAAUUUACUUUACUUUUUGAUAUACAAGAUAUUGAAACUGCAUCUGUCAAAUUUUCACUGCCUAAAUUAUUUUGCAAAAUUCAACUCAUAGCUUUAUAUACUUAUGUGGUUGUCUUUGUUUUUCAUUAACAUUAAAAGCAAAUCUAUAGGAAAUACUUUUUUUCCCCCUUGGAAGAGGAAUAGAGAUGAUAAUCUAAUUUGGUAAGUACAUUUAUAAAAUACUAGGAUGUUGAAUAUUCUUCAUUAAUUUGGGAAGGUGGCCUUUUAAAUUGUAAUUGUCAGAAGCUACAUUUUCUAUUGACUUAUUUAACAACCUGAAGUCUUUCUAAAUAAAAGCAAAUUUUGGUGCAAUAUAUAGACAACCUUAAUCCAGACAACAAUAUAGUAUUUCAGCAGCCAAUCCUGAAAAAAUUAUUCAGGAUGCAAUCCAGUGCUAUUGGUAACUGUAUACAUUACUGGAGAUAAACCCAGAAUAAAUAACAUGCUUGAUGCUUCUAAUUCCUUAAAAUCAACAUAAAAACCUUGCAAACUAUUUCAUGCCAGAUUUGACAGGUGGUGAUAGUGUUUGAGGAGGCAUAGGAUAUACUGCAGUGAUAGCAAUGAAUGGUGCAGCAUUUGAGGUGUGCUUGAGUAGAGAGCAAAACAAGCCUGAAGAAGUUAAGUGGAAGUGUUUCAUACCAUACCACUUUGCUGAGCUGCCUUUAAACUACCUGAAAACAUUUUUCACUUUUGGAACGUUUUAGAGAUCAGCAAUGCAUAGAAUGGCAUUCAGAUGAAAAUAUAAAUGAUAGUUGUACAAAUUUAAGGGUUUGAAGAUGAUACAAAAUGCUGCUGAAAUAAAGAUUUUUUAAUGAAUCUGUGACCUUACCAGCUUUUUGAAAUCUUUGCAAUGCUUCAGAUUUAUUAAUUCUAUUAA